RNAcentral lists this ribosomal RNA (1151 nucleotides) under Vibrio cholerae HC-67A1. RNAcentral describes it as "bacterial LSU rRNA". It matches the Rfam family "Bacterial large subunit ribosomal RNA", at positions 1 to 1209 of the family's 2925-position model. The record is from RNAcentral. Lineage: Bacteria; Pseudomonadati; Pseudomonadota; Gammaproteobacteria; Vibrionales; Vibrionaceae.
UUAAGUGACUAAGCGUACACGGUGGAUGCCUGGGCAGUCAGAGGCGAUGAAGGACGUACUAACUUGCGAUAAGCGCAGAUAAGGCAGUAAGAGCCGUUUGAGUCUGCGAUUUCCGAAUGGGGAAACCCAACUGCAUAAGCAGUUACUGUUAACUGAAUACAUAGGUUAACAGAGCAAACCGGGGGAACUGAAACAUCUAAGUACCCCGAGGAGAAGAAAUCAACCGAGAUUCCGGUAGUAGCGGCGAGCGAACCUGGAUUAGCCCUUAAGCACUCGGUGAAGUAGGUGAACAAGCUGGAAAGCUUGGCGAUACAGGGUGAUAGCCCCGUAACCGACGCUUCAUCGAGCGUGAAAUCGAGUAGGGCGGGACACGUGAUAUCCUGUCUGAAUAUGGGGGGACCAUCCUCCAAGGCUAAAUACUCCUGACUGACCGAUAGUGAACCAGUACCGUGAGGGAAAGGCGAAAAGAACCCCUGUGAGGGGAGUGAAAUAGAACCUGAAACCGUGUACGUACAAGCAGUAGGAGCACCUUCGUGGUGUGACUGCGUACCUUUUGUAUAAUGGGUCAGCGACUUAUAUUCAGUGGCAAGGUUAACCGUAUAGGGGAGCCGUAGCGAAAGCGAGUCUUAACUGGGCGCUCAGUCUCUGGAUAUAGACCCGAAACCGGGUGAUCUAGCCAUGGGCAGGUUGAAGGUUGAGUAACAUCAACUGGAGGACCGAACCGACUAAUGUUGAAAAAUUAGCGGAUGACUUGUGGCUAGGGGUGAAAGGCCAAUCAAACUCGGAGAUAGCUGGUUCUCCCCGAAAGCUAUUUAGGUAGCGCCUCGGACGAAUACUACUGGGGGUAGAGCACUGUUAAGGCUAGGGGGUCAUCCCGACUUACCAACCCUUUGCAAACUCCGAAUACCAGUAAGUACUAUCCGGGAGACACACGGCGGGUGCUAACGUCCGUCGUGGAGAGGGAAACAACCCAGACCGCCAGCUAAGGUCCCAAAGUAUUGCUAAGUGGGAAACGAUGUGGGAAGGCUCAGACAGCUAGGAUGUUGGCUUAGAAGCAGCCAUCAUUUAAAGAAAGCGUAAUAGCUCACUAGUCGAGUCGGCCUGCGCGGAAGAUGUAACGGGGCUAAGCAAUACACCGAAGCUGCGGCAAU